CACGUAGGGGCCAAGCGUUGUCCGGAUUUAUUGGGCGUAAAGAGCUCGUAGGCGGCUUAGAAAGUCAGGUGUGAAACCUCCAGGCUCAACCUGGAGACGCCACUUGAUACUUCUAUGGCUUGAGUUCGGUAGGGGACCAUGGAAUUCCUGGUGUAGCGGUGAAAUGCGCAGAUAUCAGGAGGAACACCGAUGGCGAAGGCAGUGGUCUGGGCCGAUACUGACGCUGAGGAGCGAAAGCGUGGGGAGCGAACAGG
This 254-nucleotide ribosomal RNA is filed under the name uncultured bacterium. RNAcentral's name for it is "partial 16S ribosomal RNA". It matches the Rfam family "Bacterial small subunit ribosomal RNA", at positions 524 to 776 of the family's 1533-position model. The record is from RNAcentral.